GCGCUGCCAUGUUUUUGUACGGAAGGAGCGCAAAGCACGCUGGGACUGACGCUGGUUUGAAGGCGGGACGGCGGGAAUUCUAUUCCCAGACUUUGGUGUGGAAGAGAGGAAGGUGAAUGGAAGGCCUGUGGACCCCCUGGCAGGACUUCAUUAGACUUGACUGGAAAACUUCAAAGGAAAACAGGAAUUUGAGGCGGAGAUGGAGCGCGCACACACUUUAUGUCAAGACGGUGUGUCCACAGGAGGUGUUUUAGCCCACUUGGAAAGAUUAGAGGCUCAGGCGAACAAAUCCCAUAAAGAAUCUGAAGAACUGCAGAGAGCUCAACCAGAGGAAAGUGCUCUUGAAACCAAGAUUCACCAACUGAGGCACAUUCGAGAUAAACUAAGGGCUGAAGUGAAGCAACGGCAAGCCAGAACCCUUAAGAUCAGAGGAGCCAUCACAGCGACCCCAAAGAAAAAGGAUAAAGCAUCUUCUGCCAACGUAGAACCUGACCAAACAGCAGAGAUCAGUGAGCAAGAUGUUUUGGAAAGAAACCAGGAAACCAUGAAAGCCAUUCUGCAAGCAUAUCAUUUUACAGGGCUCAGUGGAAAAGUGACCAGCCGUGGAGCCUGUGUCUGUAUCAGCACUGCUUUUGAGGGGAACCUACUAGAUUCCUAUUUUGUGGACCUUGUCAUACAGAAGCCACUCCGAAUCCAUCAUCAUUCCAUCCCAGUAUUCAUUCCUUUAGAAAAAAUUGCUGCAAAAUACUUACAGACUGAUAUUCAGCAGUUCCUGUUCAGUCUGUGUGAAUACCUAAACGCUUAUUCUGGGAGGAAGUACCAGGCAGAUCAACUUCAGAGUGACUUCGCAGCCCUUCUGACUGGGCCCUUGCAGAGAAACUCCCUGUGCAACUUGCUGUCAUUUACUUAUAAAGUGGAUCUAGGGGAUCAGUCCUUCCCUUUUUGUGCCAGAUUGCUAUAUAAGGACCUCACAAGAACACUUCCAACUGAUGUCACCGUUACAUAUCAAGGAGUGGAAGCAUUGUCUACUUCAUGGGAAGAGCAGAGAGCAUCUCAUGAAACUCUGUUUUGUACGAAGCCCCUGCAUCAAGUGUUUGCUUCAUUUUCAAGAGGAGGAGAAAAGCUGGAUUUGAGUCUGACCUAAAAUAUUGUUUCCGUUGGGAACACAUUUGAUGUGUAGUCCUAGAACUGAAAAUUGAAAGGCUCUCACACUUUGCUGGGGGACCAUCCUUACUCUAAGAAUAGGCACCUGCUUCUUCAUAGAAUGACAAGGAACAAGUUUGAGUCCCAUAGGCACUGGAAUUCUUGGACAAUUCUCCAUGAUUAAUCACCCAUUAUGCUCAGGAUCAUCUCUUCCUCUGAGAAAUAACCCCCCCUCCCCCUACCAGGUGAAAGGAAAUAUUGCACUUUCUGCUCUCAUAACUAAGGUGAUGGGGGUUCCAGAAGAACCUUUCAAGAUUACCAGGAACAUCAGGACAAGGGCCAUUUAACCUAACUGGGACCAUAUGAAGACAGUCGGGUCUCCGUGGGAGCUCUCUUCACAAUGAAAGCACUGUUGUCAGGUUCCAGCAGAAGUGGAGCAUUCUCCAGCAGUAUCUAACUCUGCCAAGCCCUACUCUUUUUAGCAAAGCUCCUAUUCCUGUGCUCCCAGCCCAGUGGUAAAGGCAGCUUCAUUCCACCUCUGCUGAAUUCUUACUCACAGUGGCCAUGGCCUCUCUGGGGGAAGAAGGGCUGAGUUGGAACUAGGGCUCUGGAAGGACUCUCCGAGUACUACGCCUAAGACUCCUACUCUGGGGAAGCUACAGGCACACUGAAGAAUAGUAUGGCCACCCUCAGAGGUGACAUAUCCACAAACAAGUGAAGGCUUAACAUUUUAAAGUCUAUGGGAAUGUGCACUUCAGUAAUUCAGGAACAUCAGGACGUGGUCAUUGCCCUUUCCCAAGGCCUUUCUUCAAUUCCAAAAGAAAGAAAUUCUCCCUUUCCAUGUGGGCUGUCAUGGGAGCAGAGGCCAUUCAGGAGUUGUCCACCACCUGGUGGGGCAGUGUAACAGAGGAGCCAUUGGGGAAGGCAGCUGGCUUAUCCUUCCCCUUCAAGAAAAAGGUCAGAAGCUCGCCCUUCCCUUUCACAAAGAUGGGACCUCGUCUCACAAAGCGGAAGCCGUACUCUCGGAGGAUGACCUGUGUUUCUUCUACUACCUGCACAUGAAGGAGAAAGUAAGAGAGCUUGGGGUUAGAGAGGGAGCCUAGACUGUGCUGGGUUUAGAGGCCUGGGCUGAAAACGGAUCCACAUGUACUAUCUAUACUCAUGUGACCAUUAGGUCCCAGUCAGUGCUCAUCUUUAAUGUUCUAUCCCAGACCCCCCAGAGAGCUCCAGGUGAAACCUGUGGAACUCGGGGCAACUGGUCCAAAGCCCUUCUCUCUCUAAGACAGCCGUAAUCCUCUCUUCCAGUAGGACAGCCACAGGUCACCCAUGUAGCAGACUACAGUCUGGGAAUUUGUAACUCCCUGCUCUGUUCUCUGGGCUCCCAGUUCAUAGAUCUUUUCUUGCAGACCCAGGUGACAGACAUCAGGAUUGCCCCGGGGGGAGUUGCUGUCAGCACCAAAUAUCAGUUCAUACCAGAGCACAAGCUCUUCUCAACUCAAACAGACCUAUUUGUUGCAAGUGGACUGAACCAUUUUCUUCCUUCUCUUGAGGCUUUAAAGGCCUCUCUUCCCAUGCAUGACCUUCACCUCACAGCUUUGCCAGCUUAGCAUUCUGGGCCAGCAACAGGAGGCAGUGGUGCACAGCAUUCCCUGUGCUGUUUUUCUCCUAUACCUGAGCAUGCUGAACAUACCUGAAUGUUGCCCAUGACCCCUGUGGACUCCAUUCUGCUGGCCACAUUGACUGUGUUGCCCCAUAUGUCAUAGUGUGGUUUCCGGGCUCCAAUGACCCCAGCCAGAACCCCUCCUUUGUUCAUGCCUGGAGUAGGAGGCAUAAAGUUCAGCACAACCACAUGCCAACCUUGGCAUUAUCCUCCCUCAGAAGCCACCAGUUCCUGUUUUAUAAAAAUUUUUACCUGACUCCCACCACAAAAGCUCUUGAAUAUGUAAUACCUUUAUUGUUGAAGUCAUCUUUAAGCUACUAGAAGACAGAACCAUGUCUCCUAAUUAUCCUGUCCUCACCAAGUCCAUGGCAAAUGUUAACUGCCCCCAAUAUGCCAAGUGAUCUAAUCAGUGCAGUACUGGCCAGCUUCUAACAUAGCUAGUACUUCAGGGCUCUGCAACUUCAUCUAGGAGUGAGACCCUCUCAGUAGGUAAUGGCAUGUGACAUUAACUCCUUUCAAAAGACAAUCCACUCUUGAGGAGAGUCCUUAGCAGUCUCAGAAACACCCUAAAAGUUAAGAUAACAGACCCACUUCCUGGGCAUGUCAGAAGGAAUGCUGGAUUAUGAGUAUGUCAUAAGGACAGGUCUAGCUCAACCAUUUCAUCGUUCAGGUUUUCUUUCUUUUUUUUUAAUAUUUAUUUUUUAGUUGUAGUUGGACUCAGUAUCUUUAUUUUUAUGUGGUGCUAAGGAUCAAACCCAGGGCCUCGCAUGUGCUAGGCAAGUGCUCUACCGCUGAGCCACAACCUCAGCCCUCAUUCGGGUUUUCAAUUUGAAGAGACUGGGCUAAAGAUCCUUCAAAUCCUCUCUAGCUCUGUGAGUCUGUGACCUCCCCACCCUAACUACUUUUGGUCUUCCUGAGCCUCUGGUAUUUUUCUGCUGAUAUCCCCAGCACCAGACAGCCAGGGCAGGUGAGCUGGAUCCCUUACCUAUGCGCAGCAUGAAGUUGUUGAAGGACUGAUUGUUGAUGUUUGUAAGUGUAUCCUUCAUGGCUAGUGCAAAGUCGGCCAGGUCAGCCAGGUGCUGCCAGCGCUCCUUGUCUGACUUUUCCUCCUGUGACAAGCAGUGGUGAAAGCGUCAGGAGCCACCCAGGCUCUCACUGGGGCAGCCUGCUCUCCUGUUUCCUUCCUACAGCAGCAUUUACAAGGGAAGAGGUCUCUACAUCUACUUGUUGGUGGCCUUUCCUACGUCCUGGAGUCUGCUGCAGCAUAUUGCUAUGACAAGAGUUCAUACAGGUUCCUCUAGCAUUAUCCUCCCUCAGAAGCCACCAGUUCACUAGGACAAGACUGGCCAUAGUAAUGGGGGAGACAGACUCUACCCAACUCAGUUGCUUCCUGUCAUCUACCUGAUCACGACCCAGAUCUCCACCACCCUAAGCCUGGUCUUCAGGUUUUGGGGUUUUUUGUUUGUUUGUUUGUUUUUGGCACUGGGGAUUGAACUCAGGGGCACUCAACCACUGAGCCACAUCCCCAGCCCUAUUUUGUAUUUCAUUGAGAGACAGGGUCUCACUGAGUUGCUUAGCGCCUCACCAUUGCUGAGGCUGCCUUUGAACUUGCAAUUCUCCUGCCUCAGCCUCCAAGCUAUUGGGAUUAUAGGCAUGUGCCACCGUGCCCAGCUUUUGUGUAGUGAUUUUUGUCUGGAUUCCUCAACUAGAUUAUAAAUACUUUAGGGUGAUGACCUACCUUCCACCUGCUUUGUUAAUCUCAUCCAGAAAGUAGAGAUGGCAGUAGUACUGACAUGGUUGUAAAGGUAGAACAGGGUAAUGUUUUAAGGACAGUGCCUGACACAAGGGUUCUACAGGUCUGCAUUAGCUUAGCAGAGAGCAGGCAGAUAGCCAGUGAGUUCCCAGAUCUUCCUUUUAAAGUUUCCAUUGUUACAGAAUUGCACAGGUUGCUCCUGCUCCCCAGUUAUUAUGAAAGUAUGUAUCCUAAAGAGGGCAUAGUCACAAUGUGCACAAACUAUCUUAGGCAUACGCUGUAGAACUAUAAUGGGGAUUUGUGUGUGUUCUUUUUCUUGGCUUUCUCAGUAAACUCUCUUAUAUCUGCA
Molecule: non-coding RNA, 4905 nt
Organism: Ictidomys tridecemlineatus (thirteen-lined ground squirrel)
Lineage: Eukaryota; Metazoa; Chordata; Mammalia; Rodentia; Sciuridae
Source: RefSeq, a predicted model, not a curated record